AAUAUUUUGACCCAAAUGUUGAAAUAUAUUUAGGAUAUUGUUUACCUCACACACGGUUAUUUAAAUUAAAAGCUAUUAAUCAAAAGGAAUAGAAAGUUUAAACGAAUCCCUAUAUUAGUUUUAGAAGGAAAAUGAAACAAAAAAGGACAAAGUUGGUAAAAAGAAAGGCACCACAGUAUAAGAUUAAAGUAUGAGGAGAAAAGGUUAAAAAAACAAGCUUGUUCUAUCAAGACAAAAGAGAAGCAAAGCAGAAUGCUGGUGUUUCGGGGCUUUCCUCUACAGAUGAUGAUGAUGCAGAAUAGUAUUGGUCCAGUUCAGAAACAAGUCCUUCUGAAACGUAUGAACAAAGAAGAAAACAGUUAUCAGAGGAUUGAUUGCGGGAUUUCAAAACACUGUGCUUUAUUCAGUGUGCAAUAUGUCGCAUUAUACAAUUUGAAACUCUUUUUUACAAUUCACGAAUUGAAAAUUAUUGGCAGGGGGCAGAACAUUUCAAUCAACACUUCCAUGUUUUAGUAACCUAUGCUCAUCAUUCGUUUUACAAUAUUUUUAUCUCCUUUUAAACUAUGGAGCAAAUUAUUACUUGCCUGUAUGAAUAUCCGCUGCUGCCUAUGUUUAACCCCUGCUGUGUAGCUGUUCAACAAAGUUAGGCUAAAUAGUUUUUUUUCUUAGUUAGCAUUGUGCAAUAAUUAACAAAAAGUUUAAGUUUAGAAUUUUAUUGAUGGUUAAGACCUGAUCCCUGAGAUUUGUUGGGUUAUUAGUAAAAUAUUUUAUCUCUCUUAUUCCUUUAUAUUUCAGUAGGAUAGGUAAUUUAAACAAAAAUAGGUCAAAAUACUGAAAUCAAAUACUGAAAAUGCCCAAGUUUGUGAAAAGAACACGUUCUGAUUUACUGCAGCUUGAAAAAGACAUAUUAAAUAAAUUUUGGUCAACUGGUAUGACCAACACAACCUCAGGUUUAGUUGACCAAGCAAGCAAGGAAAGUGGUCUUCCUGUGCAAAAAAUUAAGAGAUGGAUAACCAACAAAAAAAAUUCAAAACCUAGACCUAAAAUUAGUUACCAACCAGAAAGAAAAUUGUCAGGCUAUAAUUUGUUUGUGAGAAGUUUAAGAAAUGUUGGUGAGAUGCACAUUAUAAAGUUUAGUAUUCAUAGUUUUGUAUCAACUAUUCAGUCUUAAAAGGUAUUGUAUGAUUGAUAAGGUUAGUUACUUUUUAUGAAAGGUAGUGGCAGUGUGUAACGAUUAACUUUUUUAAAUCGAAUUAUUUAUUUUUAAAAGAGACA
Molecule: non-coding RNA, 1275 nt
Organism: Ciona intestinalis (vase tunicate)
Lineage: Eukaryota; Metazoa; Chordata; Ascidiacea; Phlebobranchia; Cionidae
Source: RefSeq, a predicted model, not a curated record